UCCGGUUUAUCACCAGCAGUCUCGCUAGAGUCCCCACCUUUACGUGAUGGCAACUAGCAACAAGGGUUGCGCUCGUUACGGGACUUAACCCAACAUCUCACAACACGAGCUGACGACAGCCAUGCAGCACCUGUCUCUCAGUUCCCUUUCAGGCACUCCCACCUCUCAGUGGGAUUCCAAGGAUGUCAAGGGUAGGUAAGGUUCUUCGCGUUGCAUCGAAUUAAACCACAUGCUCCACCGCUUGUGCGGGCCCCCGUCAAUUCCUUUGAGUUUUAACCUUGCGGCCGUACUCCCCAGGCGGAGAACUUAGCGCGUUAGCUACGACACCCAAAUGUCUUACCAUUCGAGCGUCUAGUUCUCAUCGUUUACAGCGUGGACUAC
RNAcentral lists this unclassified non-coding RNA (381 nucleotides) under uncultured Gammaproteobacteria bacterium. Its description in RNAcentral is "contains 16S-23S intergenic spacer region". Lineage: Bacteria; Pseudomonadati; Pseudomonadota; Gammaproteobacteria. The record is from RNAcentral.